RNAcentral lists this long non-coding RNA (1069 nucleotides) under Apteryx rowi (Okarito brown kiwi). Its description in RNAcentral is "lncRNA (ENSARWG00000008490.1)". Lineage: Eukaryota; Metazoa; Chordata; Aves; Apterygiformes; Apterygidae. The record is from RNAcentral.
UGCUGACCUAGGGACAAUUUGUAACUGAAAAUCUUAAGCACUUGCUGCUUUUGUUGAAAUACAUGUGCUUUGGAUUUAUUAGUAUUAUAUAUGUUCAAGUUUAUUCCAGUUAGUAGUUGUAGGGACUGAUGGUGAAAGAUCAGCAAGAAGUUCAAGUACAGAAGCUCAAGCUUCUCAAACAGCUUGUGCAAGAUCUACAUCUGUCUGGGAACAGACUACAAGGGUGGUUUGGAAGGAAGACAUCAGUCUUUGUGCAGUGGACACAAAAAUAACAGCUGUGAUACUAAAYAGGAGGCCUGGAAGAAGCUGAUGUGAAUGAUCAGGGGUGACACAUGGAUAAUCAGCAGAAGAACACAUGCUGAAGACCCCUAACCCUUGUGCAAAUCCUGAAGAUGCAUCCUUGGAAGCAUGCACUUUUUCUGUGAUAGAAAGGGAAAAUGCAGCCUUCUGCUUUACUGGAGUUUGCAAGGACACAGUAUAUUUGCUUAAGAGGGCACUCUACUGGCUACUUUUUGGAAGUUUCUUGCUCCUUCUGCCUGGAACUUCUCAUACUGUCCUAGUGCUUGGGAAGGACCUUGAAAUGUCCCUGCCUCCACAGAAGUAUUCUGAGAAUUACCAUAGAGCACUUUGGAGUCAGGGAAGACCUCCCUCAGAACUCCAUUGAAGAGCAGCAACUAGAAGACCAAGAACUGGUGCUUCCAAGGCCUCCAGGCUCAUGGAACUAUAAAAGGGAAUGUAGGGGGCAUAGGAUUUUUGAGCUGACGCAGUGCAGAUGUUGGGGACUGAAAUGGAGCAUCUGAACCUGAUGGACCUAUAUUGCAAAAUGUGUGUUUAUCAGUGGUUAAUAAUUUAAUUCUCCAUGUAAUAAUGUAAGGAACUUUCAAACCUUCUAUCUAGUUUGACAUGUUCAUAUCAGCAGUCCCAUUCUGCACAGCUCUCUGGUGAGCUAAAUCUUCUUUUCUGGCAUUAUUCCAAAUAUUUCUAAGGGGGGAAAAAUUCAUGUGAUAUCCUUUCCAGCUACACUAUGGAGGACAAUAAACACUUCCAUCAAGGUUAAAACUUCCCUUUC